CCCGCUGCAAUAAAGUUUUAAAAAAAGGAAAAAAACGGAAAAUAGUUCUAACUGUAAAUUACAGUGCCUUCGAUAAAGUAAACAACAAGGAAACAGUCGCUACAACCAACAACAAACGCCAAAUAAUUUCGUUAGAUUUUCACAUGAACCGCGCAACAAUAAAACUGACCAGCGCCUAGCACCUUUAGUAUGCAAUGAGGCAGCCAGAUAAACGCAUCGACAACGAUCGGCAUCGCCAAGUAUUUGUAAUACACGAGUGU
Molecule: long non-coding RNA, 260 nt
Organism: Drosophila innubila
Lineage: Eukaryota; Metazoa; Arthropoda; Insecta; Diptera; Drosophilidae
Exons: 2
Source: RefSeq, a predicted model, not a curated record